AACACUUUCUUUCUAGAUGGAAACUUGUGACGGAUGUCGAGUUAUUACUAAGAGCUUUUAGGACAAUGCAUUGCAAGAUGAGCACCAAACACCGAUAUGCCUGGAGAAAAUGCCAAUGGUAGUGAGAAAGAAGUGCAUUACUUGUGCAAUUAGUACAAGACUAGGAAUCUAAAUCAGAUUUUCUUUAACACACUUGGAUGUAGAAGCGCAAGGG
Molecule: long non-coding RNA, 214 nt
Filed under: Elaeis guineensis (African oil palm)
Lineage: Eukaryota; Viridiplantae; Streptophyta; Magnoliopsida; Arecales; Arecaceae
Description: long non-coding RNA (EGUI_LNC050784)
Source: RNAcentral